Molecule: ribosomal RNA, 253 nt
Filed under: uncultured bacterium
Lineage: Bacteria
Description: partial 16S ribosomal RNA
Rfam family: Bacterial small subunit ribosomal RNA
Source: RNAcentral
UACGUAGGGGGCAAGCGUUGUCCGGAUUUAUUGGGCGUAAAGAGCGUGUAGGCGGCUAGGUAGGUCCGUUGUGAAAACUCGAGGCUCAACCUCGAGACGUUGAUGGAAACCAUCUAGCUAGAGUCCGGAAGAGGAGAGUGGAAUUCCUGGUGUAGCGGUGAAAUGCGCAGAUAUCAGGAAGAACACCCGUGGCGAAGGCGGCUCUCUGGUACGUGACUGACGCUGAGACGCGAAAGCGUGGGGAGCGAACAGG